RNAcentral lists this ribosomal RNA (509 nucleotides) under uncultured bacterium. RNAcentral's name for it is "partial 16S ribosomal RNA". It matches the Rfam family "Bacterial small subunit ribosomal RNA", at positions 899 to 1397 of the family's 1533-position model. The record is from RNAcentral.
ACUCAAAUGAAUAGACGGGGGCCCGCACAAGCGGUGGAGCAUGUGGUUUUCAAUUCGACGCAACGCGAAGAACCUUACCUGGGUUUGAACUACUGGUAGUAAAACUGAUGAAAGUUAGGAUGACCUGUAAAGUCAGGAACCAGCAGAGGUGCUGCAUGGCUGUCGUCAGCUCGUGUCGUGAGAUGUUGGGUUAAGUCCCGCAACGAGCGCAACCCUUAUCCUAUGUUGCCACGUCCGUAAAGGACAGCACUCUUAGGAAACUGCCUCGGAUAACGGGGAGGAAGGUGGGGAUGACGUCAAGUCCUCAUGGCCUUUAUGUCCAGGGCUACACACGUGCUACAAUGGCCGGUACAACGAGCAGCAAUCCCGCAAGGGGGAGCAAAUCUCUAAAAGCCGGCCUCAGUUCAGAUUGUGGGCUGCAAUUCGCCCACAUGAAGGCGGAAUCGCUAGUAAUCGGAGAUCAGCUGGCUCCGGUGAAUACGUUCCCGGGCCUUGUACACACCGCCCGU